Long non-coding RNA from Molossus molossus (Pallas's mastiff bat), 374 nucleotides. RefSeq lists it as uncharacterized. The transcript is spliced from 3 exons. NCBI's taxonomy places the organism in Eukaryota, Metazoa, Chordata, Mammalia, Chiroptera, Molossidae. The record is from RefSeq and is a predicted model, not a curated record.
CUGAGGACCGUUCUAAAACUGUGGUUCUGUGUUGGCUGCUACUUCUGCAGCUACUCUUGAAGAGUUUGGGUUCCGUGGCUGUGAUCUACAGAUAUCUCAAAUGACUGGUAGCUCCACAAGAUGCUGGGAAGCAAAGAUACACUCACCCCGCACUUAGCUUCAAUGAAACACAUAAGAAAGGAGGAAACCAAAGCUUAUCCCUCCGGCCAGGCGGAACAGUAUCCUGAAACCCCCACCUAAACCUAAACAGCUGCUGGAAGAGAAGAACAACACUCGGAAAGACCCCAGCCCGACCAAUCAAGGAGGACCACAACUCCUCGGCGGGGCAACCCCCACCCCAGCCCUAAGUUUAAAAACCCUUAGUCUGUACAAAG